This 629-nucleotide long non-coding RNA is filed under the name Marmota monax (woodchuck). The record is from RNAcentral. Lineage: Eukaryota; Metazoa; Chordata; Mammalia; Rodentia; Sciuridae.
UGGCCUUACAUGUUCAAGGGAGGAAAGGCCUUCCUGAUAUUCUGGAUUUGGUAAACAAUGAACACCUGCCCCCUGCCAAACAUAAUACUUAACAAUUCUAGCCUCUUCUGCUAAAGUACUCUGACCUCCACCAGGAUGUACUCCAACAGUGACCCACAAUGGCAUUUUCCCUCCCCUGUAAUGGCUAUGAGAGUCAUGACUGGUACAGAUUGAUCCUUUUCUACACAUUACUUAUCUUUGAACUGAGCCUUAGUUUCUCUGCUUUUCCUAUAACAGCUUCCCUCGGGCCUAAGGAAACACCUUGUUUUUUUAUUUGUUUUGUGUUACUGGGGACUGAAUCCAGGGCCUUGCACCAUGCUAAGCAUGAGCUCUACCACUAGAACUCCCUGUUUUAAUGUCUCUUUGAGCACAGCAAAUUAGCAGGUUACCUGUCGUGCACAUUUGGUCCAACCAACAGCCAAUCUCACAUGAACAGCUAACACUUUCAACCCAAAUAACAAUGAUUAUAAGAGGACAUACCACUAUCUUUUGAAUGACUAAGAAAGAACACUGUACUAUGUUUAUAAGAAACCACGGAUUUUAAGAUAUCCCAAGUCUCCGAGAUAUUAUCAAUACAUUUUUAAAGCACA